This 404-nucleotide ribosomal RNA is filed under the name uncultured bacterium. RNAcentral describes it as "partial 16S ribosomal RNA". It matches the Rfam family "Bacterial small subunit ribosomal RNA", at positions 29 to 524 of the family's 1533-position model. The record is from RNAcentral.
AUUGAACGCUGGCGGCAGGCCUAACACAUGCAAGUCGAACGAGUGGCGGACGGGUGAGUAAUGUCUGGGAAACUGCCUGAUGGAGGGGGAUAACUACUGGAAACGGUAGCUAAUACCGCAUACCAUCAGAUGUGCCCAGAUGGGAUUAGCUUGUUGGUGGGGUAACGGCUCACCAAGGCGACGAUCCCUAGCUGGUCUGAGAGGAUGACCAGCCACACGGAAUGUGAGACACGGCACAGACUCCUAGGAGAGGCAGCAGGGGGGAAUAUUGCAAAAUGGGCGCAAGCCAGAUGCAGCCAUGCCGCGUGUAUGAAGAAGGCCUUCGGGUUGUAAAGUACUUUCAGCGGAGAAACGUUACCCGCAGAAGAAGCACCGGAUAACGCCGCGACAGCAGCCGCGGUAAC